CCCUUAGACGUUCUGGGCCGCACGCGCGCUACACUGACCAGUGCAACAAGCAUCCGUCCUUGGCCGACAGGCUCGGGCAAUCUUUGAACGUGAAUCGUGAUGGGGAUAGAUGAUUGCAAUUAUUCAUCUUCAACGAGGAAUUCCUAGUAAACGCAAGUCAUCAGCUUGCAUUGAUUACGUCCCUGCCCUUUGUACACACCGCCCGUCGCACCUACCGAUUGAAUGGUCCGGUGAAAUCUUCGGAUCUGAGAGAUGUCUGAUUAAUUUCGGACGCCUUUUGGAAAAGUUGCUUAAACCUUACCAUUUAGAGGAAGGUGAAGUCGUAACA
RNAcentral lists this ribosomal RNA (328 nucleotides) under uncultured eukaryote. RNAcentral describes it as "partial 18S ribosomal RNA". It matches the Rfam family "Eukaryotic small subunit ribosomal RNA", at positions 1470 to 1796 of the family's 1831-position model. The record is from RNAcentral.